UAGCACAUAUCAUUGUCCUGCUCCCUCAAUGUGGGAGUAGCGAUAUUUCUAAUGUGCUAGAGAAAAUUUGUUGGUUAAUUAACAGCUUGGUUAAUUUUUUAUGAUCAAUGCUGUCAGUCACCUUCAUACACUU
Lethenteron reissneri (Far Eastern brook lamprey) is the source of this 133-nucleotide small nucleolar RNA. Lineage: Eukaryota; Metazoa; Chordata; Hyperoartia; Petromyzontiformes; Petromyzontidae. The record is from RefSeq and is a predicted model, not a curated record.